CCUACGGGUGGCAGCAGUAGGGAAUAUUGCUCAAUGGGGGAAACCCUGAAGCAGCAACGCCGCGUGGAGGAUGAAGGUUUUAGGAUUGUUAACUCCCUUUUUUACAGAAGAUAAUGACGGUAUCUAACGAAUAAGCACCGGCUAAAUCCGUUCCAGCAGCCGUGGUAAUACGGAGGGUGCAAGCGUUACUCGGAAUCACUGGGCGUAAGGGGCGUGUAGGGGGGAUAGCAAGUCAGAGGUGAAAAACUAUGGGUUAAAAAGAGAACUGCAGUUGAAACUGUAAGACUAGAGUAUGGAAGAGGAAGGUGGAAUUUGUGGUGUAGGGGUAAAAUCCAUAGAGAUUAAGAGGAAAACCGAUUGCGAAGGCAGCCGGCUAGGGCGUAACUGACGCUGAGGCGCGAAGGCGUGGGGAUCAAACAGGAUUAGAUACCCGGGUAGUC
This 440-nucleotide ribosomal RNA is filed under the name uncultured bacterium. Its description in RNAcentral is "partial 16S ribosomal RNA". It matches the Rfam family "Bacterial small subunit ribosomal RNA", at positions 338 to 795 of the family's 1533-position model. The record is from RNAcentral.